Molecule: long non-coding RNA, 185 nt
Organism: Dipodomys spectabilis (banner-tailed kangaroo rat)
Lineage: Eukaryota; Metazoa; Chordata; Mammalia; Rodentia; Heteromyidae
Exons: 3
Source: RefSeq, a predicted model, not a curated record
AACUUCUACCCUGUUGACAGUAGUAUUUUGCACCAUCUUCAGCCUCCACUGGAUUUAUGGUGAAGUUGAAAUCUGUCUCAGACCCACUGCCACUGAACUGGUUUUGGUACUCACUUUCCCUGUUGGAUCCUGGAUAGGUCAGAAGUUUUGGAGGCUGUCCUGGUUUCUGUUGGUACCAAUAUAUG